GCAGUCGAGCGAAUGGAUUAAGAGCUUGCUCUUAUGAAGUUAGCGGCGGACGGGUGAGUAACACGUGGGUAACCUACCCAUAAGACUGGGAUAACUCCGGGAAACCGGGGCUAAUACCGGAUAAUAUUUUGAACUGCAUAGUUCGAAAUUGAAAGGCGGCUUCGGCUGUCACUUAUGGAUGGACCCGCGUCGCAUUAGCUAGUUGGUGAGGUAACGGCUCACCAAGGCGACGAUGCGUAGCCGACCUGAGAGGGUGAUCGGCCACACUGGGACUGAGACACGGCCCAGACUCCUACGGGAGGCAGCAGUAGGGAAUCUUCCGCAAUGGACGAAAGUCUGACGGAGCAACGCCGCGUGAGUGAUGAAGGCUUUCGGGUCGUAAAACUCUGUUGUUAGGGAAGAACAAGUGCUAGUUGAAUAAGCUGGCACCUUGACGGUACCUAACCAGAAAGCCACGGCUAACUACGUGCCAGCAGCCGCGGUAAUACGUAGGUGGCAAGCGUUAUCCGGAAUUAUUGGGCGUAAAGCGCGCGCAGGUGGUUUCUUAAGUCUGAUGUGAAAGCCCACGGGCUCACCGUGGAGGGUCAUUGGAAACUG
This 597-nucleotide ribosomal RNA is filed under the name bacterium 40-L049641-122-013-H05. RNAcentral describes it as "bacterial SSU rRNA". It matches the Rfam family "Bacterial small subunit ribosomal RNA", at positions 57 to 635 of the family's 1533-position model. The record is from RNAcentral.